GACAGAGGCCUCAAGCGUUUAGGCGGAAUCACUGGGCUUAAAGCGUGUGUAGGCGGAUCGUUAAGUGUCUUGUGAAAUCCCACGGCUCACCCGUGGAACUGCUGGGCAUACUGGCGAUCUUGGGCCAACUAGGGGCAACUGGAACAAGCGGUGGAGCGGUGAAAUGCGUAGAUAUCGCUUGGAACGCCAAAGGUGAAAACAGGUUGCUGGGGCUGUGCUGACGCUGAGACACGAAAGCCAGGGGGGCGAACGGG
Molecule: ribosomal RNA, 254 nt
Filed under: uncultured bacterium
Lineage: Bacteria
Description: partial 16S ribosomal RNA
Rfam family: Bacterial small subunit ribosomal RNA
Source: RNAcentral